RNAcentral lists this long non-coding RNA (7184 nucleotides) under Hordeum vulgare. Its description in RNAcentral is "long non-coding RNA (HVUL_LNC020767)". Lineage: Eukaryota; Viridiplantae; Streptophyta; Magnoliopsida; Poales; Poaceae. The record is from RNAcentral.
CCCUGCGGGUUCGAGAACUAUGUAGACAUGACCCGAGUGACUCCUCGGUCAAUAUCCAAUAGCGAGACCUGGAUGCCCAUAUUGAAUCUCACAUAUUCUACGAAGAUCUUAUUGUUUGAACCUCAGUGCCAAGGAUUCAUAUAAUCCCGUAUGUCAUUCCCUUUGUCCUUCGGUAUGUUACUUGCCCGAGAUUCGAUCGUCAGUAUUCGCAUACCUAUUUCAAUCUCGUUUACCGGCAAGUCUCUUUACUCGUUCCGUAAUACAAGAUCCCGCAACUUACACUAAGUCACAUUGCUUGCAAGGCUUGUGUGUGAUGUUGUAUUACCGAGUGGGCCCCGAGAUACCUCUCCGUCACACGGAGUGACAAAUCCCAGUCUCGAUCCAUACUAACUCAACGAACACCUUCGGAGAUACCUGUAGAGCAUCUUUAUAGUCACCCAGUUACGUUGCGACGUUUGAUACACACAAAGCAUUCCUCCGGUGUCACUGAGUUAUAUGAUCUCAUGGUCAUAGGAACAAAUACUUGACACGCAGAAAACAGUAGCAACAAAAUGACACGAUCAACAUGCUACGUCUAUUAGUUUUGGGUCUAGUCCAUCACAUGAUUCUCCUAAUGAUGUGAUCCCGUUAUCAAGUAACAACACUUGCCUAUGGCCAGGAAACCUAGACCAUCUUUGAUCAACGAGCUAGUCAACUAGAGACUUACUAGGGAUAGUGUUUUGUCUAUGUAUCCACACAAGUAUUGUGUUUCCAAUCAAUACAAUUAUAGCAUGGAUAAUAAACGAUUAUCAUGAACUAAGAAAUAUAAUAAUAACUAAUUUAUUAUUGCCUCUAGGGCAUAUUUCCAACAGUCUCCCACUUGCACUAGAGUCAAUAAGCUAGGUCACAUCACCAUGUGACUCCAACGAAUCCAACACCCAUAUAGUUAUGGGGUCUGAUCACGUCUUGCUCGUGAGAGAGGUUUUAGUCAACGGUUCUGAAACUUUCAGAUCCGUGUGUUCUUUACAAAUCUUUAUGUCAUCUUAUAGAUGCUGCUACUAUGUGCUAUUCGGAAAUACUCCAAAUAUCCACUCUAUUAUACGAAUCCGUUUCACUACUCAUAGUUAUUCGGAUUAGUGUCAAAGCUUGAAUCGACAUAACCCUUUACGACAAACUCUUUAACCACCUCCAUAAUCGAGAAAAAUUCCUUAGUCCAUCAGUUACUAAGGAUAAAUUUUGACCGCUGCUAGUGAUUCAAUCAUGGAUCACUCUCUGUACCUCUCAACAGACUUUGAGUCAAGGCACUCAUCAGGUGCGGUACCCAGCAUGGCAUACUUCAGAUUCUACGGCCAAGGCAUAGAAGACGACCUUCGUCUAUUCUCUUUAUUCUGCCGGGGUCGGAUUUUGAGUCUUACUCAAAUUCACACCUCACAACGCAACCAAGAACUCCUUCUUUUCUGAUCUAUUUUGAACUCCUUCAAAAACUUGUCAAGGCAUGCAUCUUGUUGAAACUUCUAUUAAGCGCUUUCGAUCUAUCUUCAUAGAUCUUUGAUGCUCAACGUUCAAGUAGCGCAAUCCAGGUAUUCCUUUGAAAACUCCUUUCAAACAACCUUGUAUGCUUUACAGAAAUUCUACAUUACUUCUGAUCCACAAUAUGUCAACCACAUAUACUUAUCAGAAAUUCUAUAGUGCUCACACUCACUUCUUUGGAAAUACAAGUUUCUCAUAAACCUUGUACAAACCCAAAAUCUUUGAUCAUCUCAUCAAAGUGUAUAUUCCAACUCCGAGAUGCUUGCACCAGUCCAUUGAAGGAUCGCUGGAGCUUGCAUACUUGCUAGUAUCUUUAGGAUCGACAAAACCUCCUGGUUGUAUCACAUACAAUGUUUGCUCAAGGAAACCGUCGAGGAAACAAUGUUUUGACAUCCUAUGAGAAAUAUUUCAUAAAUAAUGCAGCAACUACUAACAUAAUUCUAACAGACUUUUAGCAUCGCUACGAGUAAGAAAGUCUCAUCAUAGUCAACUGUUUGAUCUUGUCGGAAACAUCUUUGCGACAAGUCGAGCUUUUCUUAAUAGUGACUUAUCACCAUCAUCGUCUGUCUUCCUUUUAAAGAUCCAUCUUUAAUCAACAGUCCUAUGACCAUCAAGUAGUUCUUCCAAAGUCUACACUUUGUUUUCAUACAUGGAUCCUCUCUCGGAUUUCAUGGCUUCCAGCCAUUUGUCGGAAUCCGGGCCCACCAUUGCUUUCUCCAUAACUCGUAGGUUCACUGUUGCUCAACAACAUGACCUCCAAGACAGGGUUACCGUACCACUCUGCAUUAGUACGCGACCUUGUCAACCUACGAGGCUUGUGGUAACUUGAUCCGAUGCUCGGUGAUCACCAUCAUCAGCUUUCACUUCAAUUGGUGUAGGCGCCACGGGAACAACUUCCUGCGCCCUGCUACACACUGGUUGAAGUGAUGAUUCAAUAACCUCAUCAAGUUCUACCACCCUCCCGCUCAAUUUUUUUUGAGAGAAACCUUUCCUCGAGAAAGGAUCCGUUUCUAGAAACAAACACUUUGCUUUUGGAUCUGAGAUAGGAGAUGUACCCAACUGUUUUGGAUAUCCUAUGAAGAUGCAUUUAUCUGCUUUGGGUUCGAGCUUAUCAGACUGAAACUUUUUCACAUAAGUGUCGAAGCCCCAAACUUUCAAGAAACGACAGUUUAGAUUUCUCUAAACCUCAUUCUAUACUGUGUCAUCUCAACGGAAAUACACGGUGCCCUAUUUAAAGUGAAUGCGGUUGUCUCUAAUGCAUAACCCAUAAAUGAUAGUGGUAAUUCGAUAAGAGACAUCAUAGCAUGCACCAUACCAAAUAGUGCGUGGCUAUGACGUUCAGACACAUCAUCACACUAUGAUGUUCCAGGUGGCAUGAACUGCGAAACAAUUUCCACAUUGUCUUAACUGCGUACCAAAACUCGUAACUCAAAUAUUCAUUUCUAUGAUCAUAUCGUAGACAGUUUAUCCUCUUGUUACGACGAACUUCACUCCUGAAAGAGAAUUGAACUUUUCAAUAUUUCAGACUUGUGAUUCAUUAAGUAAAUACUCUUGUAUCUACUCAAAUCGUCAUUGAAGUAAGAACAUAAUGAUAUCCACUGCGUGCCUUAGCACUUAUUGGACUGCACACAUCAAAAAUGCAUUACUCCCAACAAGUUACUCUACUUGUUUCAUGUGGCAUGUUUUGCAUGUCUCAAGUGAUUCAAAAUCAAGUGAGUCCAAACGAUCCAUCAGCAUGGAGCUUCUUCAUGCAUUUUACACCAACAUGACUCAAGUGGCAGUGCCACAACUAAGUGGUACUAUCAUUAUUACUUUUUUUAUCUUUUGGCACUAAUAUUAUGAACAUGUGUCACACUACGAUCGAGAUUCAAUAAAUCAUUGAGGGUAAUUAUUCAAGCAAAUAGAAUAACUAUUAUUCUUUUAAAUGAAUAAUCGUAUUGCAACAAACACGAUCCAAUCAUGUUCAUGCUCAACGCAAACACCAAAUAACAAUUAUUUGAGUUUCACCACCAAUCCCGAUGAUAGAGGGAGCGUGCGACAUUUGAUCAUAUCAACCUUGGAAACACUUCCAACACGUAUCGUCACCUCGCCUUUAGCUAGUCUCCGUUUAUGUCAUAGCUUUCAUUUCGUGUUACUAAUCACUUAGCAACCGAACCGGUAUCCAAUACCCUCGUGCUACUAGGAGUACUAGUAAAGUACACAUCAACAUCAUGUAUAUCAAAUAUACUUCUUUCGACUUUUGCCAGCCUUCUUAUCUACCAAGUAUCUAGAGUUGCUCCGCCUCGGUGACUGUUCCCCUCAUUACAGAAGCACUUAGUCUCGGGUUUGGGUUUAAUCUUGGGUCUCUUCAUUAGUGCAGCAAUUGUUUUGCCAUUUCACGAAGUAUCCCUUCUAGCCCUUGCCUUUCUUGAAACUUAGUGGUUUUACUAACCAUCAACUAUUGAUGCUCCUUCUUGAUUUCUACUUUCGCAGUGUCAAACAUCGCGAAUUGCUCAAGGAUCAUUGCAUCUAUCCUUGAUAUGUUAUAGUUCAUCACGAAGCUCUCACAGCUUGGUGGCAGUGACUUUGGAGAACCAUCACUAUCUCAUCUGGAAGAUUAACUCCCACUUGAUUCAAGCGAUUGUCGUACUCAGAUAAUCUGAGCACACGCUCAACGAUUGAACUUUUCUCCCUUACUUUGUGGACAAAGAGUCUUGUCAAAGGUCUCGUACCUCUUAACAAGGGCACAAGCAUGAAAUCACAAUUUCAUCUCUUUAGAACAUCUCUUAUGUUCCGUGACGUUUCAAAACGUCUUCGGUGCCUUGCUUCUAAGCCAUUAAGUAUUUUGUACUGAACUAUCGUGUAGUCAUCAGAAACGUGUAUGUCGGAUGUUCACAGCAUCCACAGACGACGCUCGAGGUGCAGCACACCGAGUGGUGCAUUAAGGACAUAAGCCUUCUGCGCAGCAACGAGGACAAUCCUCUGCAAAGUUUGCUACUAUCAACUUUCAACUAAAUUUUCUCUAGGAACAUAUAAAAAUAGUAGAGCUAUAGCGCAAGCUACAUCGUAAUUCGCAAAGACCAUUAGACUAUGUUCAUGACAAUUAGUUCAAUUAAUCAUAUUACUUAAGAACUCCCACUCAAAAAGUGCAUCUCUCUAGUCAUUUGAGUGGUACAUGAUCCAAAUCCACUAUCUCAAGUCCGAUCAUCACGUGAGUCGAGAAUAGUUUCAGUGGUAAGCAUCUCUAUGCUAAUCAUAUCAACUAUACGAUUCAUGCUCGACCUUUCGGUCUCAUGUGUUCCGAGGCCAUGUCUGCACAUGCUAGGCUCGUCAAGCUUAACCCGAGUGUUCCGCGUGUGCAACUAUUUUGCACCAGUUGUGUGUGAACGUUGAGUCUAUCACACCCGAUCAUCACGUGGUGUCUCGAAACAAAGAACUGUCGCAACGGUGCACAGUCGGGGAGAACACAAUUUCGUCUUGAAAUUUUAGUGAGAGAUCACCUCAUAAUGCUACGGUCGUUCUAAGCAAGAUAAGGUGCAUAAAGGAUUAACAUCACAUGCAAUUCAUAAGUGACAAGAUAUGGCCAUCAUCAUGUGCUUCUUGAUCUCCAUCACCAAAGCACCGGCACGAUCUUCUUGUCACCGGCGUCACACCAUGAUGUCCAUCAUCAUGAUCUCCAUCAACGUGUCGCCACCGGGGUUGUCGUGCUACUCAUGCUAUUACUACUAAAGCUACGUCCUAGCAAUAUAGUAAACGCAUCUGCAAGCACAAAUGUUAGUUUAAAGACAACCCUAUGGCUCCUGCCGGUUGCCGUACCAUCGACGUGCAAGUCGAUAUUAACUAUUACAACAUGAUCAUCUCAUACAGCCAAUAUAUCACAUCACAUCGUUGGCCAUAUCACAUCACAAGCAUACCCUGCAAAAACAAGUUAGACGUCCUCUAAUUGUUGUUGCAUGUUUUACGUGGUGACCAUGGGUAUCUAGUAGGAUCGCAUCUUACUUACGCAAACACCACAACGGAGAUAUAUGAAUUGCUAUUUAACCUCAUCCAAGGACCUCCUUGGUCAAAUCCGAUUCAAUUAAAGUUGGAGAAACCGACACUCGCCGGUCAUCUUUGAGCAACGGAGUUACUCGUAGCGAUGAAACCAGUCUCUCGUAAGCGUACGAGUAAUGUCAGUCCGAGCCGCUUCGAUCCAACAAUACCGCGGAAUCAAGAAAAGACUAAGGAGGGCAGCAAAACGCACAUCACCGCCCACAAAAACUUUUGUGUUCUACUCGAGAUUACAUCUACGCAUGAACCUAGCUCAUGAUGCCACUGUUGGGAACGUCGCAUGGGAAACAAAAAAUUUCCUACGCGCACGAAGUCCUAUCAUGGUGAUGUCCAUCUACGAGAGGGGAUUUCCGAUCUACGUACCCUUGUAGAUCGCACAGCAGAAGCGUUAGUGAACACGGUUGAUGUAGUGGAACGUCCUCACGCCCCUCGAUCCGCCCCGCGAACCGUCCCACGAACCGUCCCGCGAUCCGUCCCACGAUCUAGUGCCGAACGGACGGCACCUCCGCGUUCAGCACACGUACAGCUCGACGAUGAUCUCGGCCUUCUUGAUACAACAAGAGAGACGAAGAGGUAGAUGAGUUCUCCGGCAGCGUGAUGGCGCUCCGGAGGUUGGUGGUGAUCCUAUCUCAGCAGGGCUUCGCCCGAGCUCUGCAGAAACGCGAUCUAGAGGUAAAACCGUGGAGGUAUGUGGUCGGGCUGCCUUAAAAGUUGUCUCAAAUCAGCCCUAAUUGCUCCAUGUAUAUAGGAGGAGGGAGGGGAGGCUUGCCUUGAGGCUCAAGGAGCCCCAAGGGCUGCACCACCAAGGGAGGAGGAGUCCUCCUCCAAUCCUAGUCCAACUAGGAUUGGAAAGUGGAGUCCUUCUCUCCUUUCCCACCUCUUUUUUUUCUUUUCUCUUUGAUUUUCUAUCCUUGGCGCAUAGGGCCUUCUUGGGCUGUCCCACUAGCCCACCAAGGGCUGGUGCACCACCCCAAGGCCUAUGGGCUUCCCCGGGGUGGGUUGCCCCCCCGGUGAACACCCGGAACCCAUUCAUCAUUCCCGAUACAUUCCUGAUAACUCCGAAAACCUUCGAGUAAUCAAAUGAGGUCAUCCUAUACAUCAAUCUUCGUUUCUGGACCAUUCCGGAAACCCUCGUGACGUCCGUGAUCUCAUCCGGGAUUCCGAACAACAUUCGGUAACCAACCAUAUAACUCAAAUACGCAUAAAACAACGUCGAACCUUAAGUGUGCAGACCCUGCGGGUUCGAGAACUAUGUAGACAUGACCCGAGUGACUCCUCGGUCAAUAUCCAAUAGCGAGACCUGGAUGCCCAUAUUGAAUCCCACAUAUUCUACGAAGAUCUUAUCGUUUGAACCUCAGUGCCAAGGAUUCAUAUAAUCCCGUAUGUCAUUCCCUUUGUCCUUCGGUAUGUUACUUGCCCGAGAUUCGAUCGUCAGUAUUCGCAUACCUAUUUCAAUCUCGUUUACCGACAAGUCUCUUUACUCGUUCCGUAAUACAAGCUCCCGCAACUUACACUAAGUCACAUUGCUUGCAAGGCUUGUGUGUGAUGUUGUAUUACCGAGUGGGCCCCGAGAUACCUCUCCGUCACACGGAGUGACAAAUCCCAGUCUCGAUCCAUACUAACUCAACGAACACCUUCGGAGAUAC